AUUAUCAUCAUGUAAUCAAACUGGCAUUUAAAGGCAUUUUUAUCACUCUCCUCCAGGUGCAAUAGAACGUACAGUUAACAAACGGCACAUUACCCCUGAAGUAGCCACAACUCUUACAUAACAUCUUACAGAAAUACCACCUUACCAUCAUC
Labrus bergylta (ballan wrasse) is the source of this 152-nucleotide non-coding RNA. Lineage: Eukaryota; Metazoa; Chordata; Actinopteri; Labriformes; Labridae. The record is from RefSeq and is a predicted model, not a curated record.